RNAcentral lists this ribosomal RNA (873 nucleotides) under uncultured archaeon. RNAcentral describes it as "bacterial SSU rRNA". It matches the Rfam family "Archaeal small subunit ribosomal RNA", at positions 125 to 995 of the family's 1478-position model. The record is from RNAcentral.
CAUAACCCCGGGAAACUGGGGAUAAUACCGGAUAUGUAAGGCUGCCUGGAAUGGUUCCCUAUUGAAAUGUUUUCACCCCUACAGAUGGAUCUCCGCCACAUUACGUAUUUGGCUGGGUAAAUGCCCACCACUCCACUAAUCUGUAUAGGUUUUGAGAGAAAAAGACCCGAGAUAGAAACUGAGACAAAGUUCCCCGCCCUACAGGGCGCACCACGCGCGAAACCUCUUCAAUGUGCGAAAAUGCGACGGGGGAAACCCAAGUGCCACUCUUAACGGGGUGGCUUUUCUUAAUUGUAAAAAGCUUUUGGAAUAAAAGCUGGGCAAGACCGGUGCCAGCCCCCCCGCUAACACCCCCACCUCAAGUGGUGGCCGUUUUUAUUGUGCCUAAAACGUUCGUAUACGGCUUGAUAAGUCUCUGGUGAAAUCUCACGGCUUAACCGUGAUAAUUGCUGGAGAUACUAUUCCGCUUGAGGCCCCGAGAGGUUAAAGAUACUCCCGGGGUAUGAGAGAAAUCUCAUAAUCCCGCGAGGACCACCUGUGGGGAAAGCGGCUCAUAGGAACAGAGCUGACAGUGAGUAGCACAAGCCCUGGGCGCGAACACGAUAUUAUACACGCGUAUACUCGGCCCUAAACAAUAUGCACUAUGUGUGUGGGAUGGCUCCGAGCUGCUCUCUUGCCCCACGGGAACUCUUUAAUCCACCGCCCUGUGAAAUACACUCGCACGACUGAGACAUAUAGGAGAUGUCGCGGGAGCACACCACCACGUGUAGCCUGUGGUGUUAUAUGUGUUCUACACCCGACAUCUCUCCCGGGCGACAGCGCAAUGUGUAGCGACGUUGAUGAACAUUGCUCGACAUUCUGAAAGAGAUGUGU